This 257-nucleotide long non-coding RNA is filed under the name Homo sapiens (human). RNAcentral's name for it is "non-protein coding lnc-FAM214B-2:1". Lineage: Eukaryota; Metazoa; Chordata; Mammalia; Primates; Hominidae. The record is from RNAcentral.
CCCAAAGCACGGACGGGAUGUAAAGUUUGGGUGCCGCGACUGCUCUCGUUACCGGCCCCACGGGUCUGGCAGCUCCUCAUGGUCCCGGUCGCAGGUAGCGUCCCGCCGCUGCCUCGGACCCGCCCCAAAUCUCACCGUCUGAGCGAACUCCGGGUAGCGGUGAGUACCGGCCGGCAGGCUGGGGACUGGGCGCGGCACAGCGACGCCAUCGCUGGGAGGUAGGAGCUGCCGGGACUCCCUCCCGUCAUUCCACCCGG